Polistes dominula (European paper wasp) is the source of this 572-nucleotide long non-coding RNA. The record is from RefSeq and is a predicted model, not a curated record. NCBI's taxonomy places the organism in Eukaryota, Metazoa, Arthropoda, Insecta, Hymenoptera, Vespidae.
UCUCUCUCUCUUUCUCUCUCUCUCUCUCUCUCUCUCUUAUGAUUCUUUCUUUCUUGCUCACUCACUGUUUAUAUGAAUAGAUAUAUUAUGUAGUCGUGAUUUUCCUUAUUAGUGUAUAAAGAUCAUUUGAGAAAGAGAGAAUAUAUGAAAUUGAAAAUAUUUUCAGUGAAAUGUUGCUAUCAUUAAUAUGCGAUUAUUAAAAAUAUGAAAUUCGUAGUCAAGCGUGUACAAUAGAAUAUGCGUUGUAUCAUAGAUGGAAAUCAUUCUUGAUCGGUCGUUCUCCCUAGCGUACACGGACUUUCAUAUAAUCAAAAGAAACCGGUAGAUCGUUCCUUCACAGUGGAAGUAAGUACUUUCACGAGUGCGUUGUCUACGACUUAGCCGUAUCGUUUUGGUUGAUCUCGAAAACUUCUAUGUGACUAAAACUUGGCGCCGUACCGUUAAUCGUGCUGGAUACUAUUUCCUUUUGCCGGAGGCUCUGCCACUGGAACGUAGUAUAAAUGAGGAAAAUAAUCACGAAAAAGUAAAGAACCAAUAAGAGGAAGGAAGGAAGGAAGGAAGGAAAAAAAAAA